Molecule: long non-coding RNA, 1059 nt
Filed under: Canis lupus dingo (dingo)
Lineage: Eukaryota; Metazoa; Chordata; Mammalia; Carnivora; Canidae
Description: lncRNA (ENSCAFG00020025443.1)
Source: RNAcentral
AUGCAAAUACACAUUUAUGUGUAUUACAACCUUUUCGUUAAAUUAACGCUGCCUUAUAAGGAAUUUAGAGCGGGGGGGGGGAACCCCCACCUCAGCAUCAUCCGCUAUCCUCAAGUAAAGCUUGACUUUGGCGGGGGCGGGGGGGGUACACUGGACUCUGCCCCCCCCAACGUGCCAAUGCCGGUCUUGUGCCCGAAGCGGUCUGGGAAGCGCAAUUCGCCGCAGCCGCAUUUAGCACACCCCGUGCCUUUAGGCACUUGCAGAAUGUCCGAAUGCGUUUUCCUUCACCAAAGGACUUCGGCGAGGAAGAGGAACGAGACGAGAAAAAUGGGGAACGAAGAGAGGGUGGGGAAGGCCCAGCCGGGGGCGGAAAACAGGAAACAAGGACGCAGCGGCCCGAGCCUCGGCCCCAGCGAGCGCGCCCCGCUCCCCGGCAGCGCGGUCGGCGUUGGGCGCCAACGCCCGGAGCGGCGCUCCCUCCCCGCCCUCGGCGCGUCCCCCUCCCAGCCGCAGCGGCGCGCAGCCUUCCCGCAGGUUCUGCGGCAGCCCUGGGCCCCCGCGCCGGGCCUCGCUCGGCAGCUCGCCAUCCUGCGCGCUCCUGCGGGGAGACGGACUUCCCACGCGCCGGCGGCCCGGCUCCCGGGCGCCCCUGCCCGCCGAGGCCGGCCGCGCGCUCGCAACCCGGCCCGGGUUCCGGCCGCAGGCAGCAGCGGCCCGCGCCCCGCCUCCCCGAGGGCGCCGGCCGUCCCGCCCGCCGCGGACGCCCCUCGGCCACCGCCCGCCCGCCGCCGCCGCCGCCGCCGCCGCCGCCCCGGGCGCUCUCCGACCACCCCGCCGGGGCCCCGAGGGGCGGGGGCCGGCGGCCGCAGAGUCACUCCGGGGCGCCCUCCCUCCCCCGCGCCGCUGGGCGCACGCGCAGCAGCCGCCGCCGCCUUUAUUUGGUCCGCGAUGGCUUCUCUCGCGCCGCACCGUCCUCCGCCCGCAGGCGGCUCCCUCCCCGCGCACCCCGGAGCCCCCGGGACCAGCCUCGAGCAGGGCCCCGAGCGGGACUAUCCUUAA